AGUAUACUUCCUCCGUCCGGAAAAUCUUGUCACAAUCUUGUUCCUCAAAUGGAUGUAUCUAACACUAACUUAAUGCUAGAUACAUAUACAUUCAUUUAAGGGACAAGUUUCUUCAGACGGAGAGAGUAUUUG
Non-coding RNA from Triticum aestivum (bread wheat), 132 nucleotides. Lineage: Eukaryota; Viridiplantae; Streptophyta; Magnoliopsida; Poales; Poaceae. The record is from Rfam.